This is a long non-coding RNA of Thalassophryne amazonica, 106 nucleotides long. RefSeq lists it as uncharacterized. Lineage: Eukaryota; Metazoa; Chordata; Actinopteri; Batrachoidiformes; Batrachoididae. The record is from RefSeq and is a predicted model, not a curated record. The transcript is spliced from 2 exons.
ACAAGUUUGAGAAUCCUCAUUUUUAUGAAAUAGAGGAUCAUAAAUAUUGCUUAUCAGAAGACAAAGCAAAAAAACAAGGGAGCAUGAAUCCUCAUCGCUAAAGAAG